AACGGCGACGACCUGUUAAGUCAGGAACCUGCACAGGUGGUGCAUGGCUGUCGUCAGCUCGUGCCGUGAGGUGUUGGGUUAAGUCCCGCAACGAGCGCAACCCUCACUCUAUGUUGCCAUCGGGUAAUGCCGGGCACUCUUAGGGAACUGCCGGCGAAGAGCUGGAGGAAGGGGGGGAUGACGUCAAGUCCGUAUGCCCCUUAUGUCCAGGGCUACACACAUGCUACAAUGGCCGAUACAGAGGGUUCCCAACCCGCGAGGGGGAGGCAAUCCCACAAAGUCGGUCUCAGUUCGGAUUGCAGGCUGCAACUCGCCUGCAUGAAGUCGGAAUCGCUAGUAAGCGCAGAUCAGCAGGCUGCGCUGAAUACGUUCCCGGGCCUUGUACACACCGCCCGUCACACCACGAAAGCCGGUUGUACCAGAAGUCGCUGAGCCAACCGCAAGGAUGCAGGCGCCGAAGGUAUGGUCGGUGAUUGGGGUGAAGUCGUAACAAGGUAGCCGU
This 502-nucleotide ribosomal RNA is filed under the name uncultured Actinomycetes bacterium. Its description in RNAcentral is "bacterial SSU rRNA". It matches the Rfam family "Bacterial small subunit ribosomal RNA", at positions 1004 to 1503 of the family's 1533-position model. Lineage: Bacteria; Bacillati; Actinomycetota; Actinomycetes. The record is from RNAcentral.